UCCCUGGAGGACUAGUGGUUAGGCCACAUCGCUUUCACUGCUGCAGCCUGGGUUCGAUUCCUGGCCAGGGAA
RNAcentral lists this transfer RNA (72 nucleotides) under Pangasianodon hypophthalmus (striped catfish). It matches the Rfam family "tRNA". From Rfam's summary of the family: Transfer RNA (tRNA) molecules are approximately 80 nucleotides in length. The record is from Rfam by way of RNAcentral. Lineage: Eukaryota; Metazoa; Chordata; Actinopteri; Siluriformes; Pangasiidae.